This is an RNA transcript of Strigops habroptila (Kakapo), 2918 nucleotides long. It is a transcript of the gene named TBCC domain containing 1, with no coding region annotated. The record is from RefSeq and is a predicted model, not a curated record. Lineage: Eukaryota; Metazoa; Chordata; Aves; Psittaciformes; Psittacidae. The transcript is spliced from 7 exons.
CGGGCCCCGGCGGCGGGCGGUGCCGGUCGCCAUGGCGGCGGCGCGGCUGUGGGUGAAGACGGAGCCGUUCGUGGUGGGGGUCCUGCCCGCCCCGCCGCCCGCCCGCCUCGGCCCGCACUACCUCCGGAAGAUGUCGGCUUACUGCCGAGCGCGGGCGGGCGAGGGCUGCUUCCCGCGGCUGUCGUGGCCCCGCUGGCGGCACAUCGCCUGCGGCAAGCUGCAGCUGGACCGCGGCCUGGCCUGGCUCUACUUCGAGCUCUUCCACAGCGUCCUCCGGCCCGACCCGCCGCGCCGCCUGGAGUGGGCCGAGGCCGAGGCGGCCUGCGGCAGCGCCGAGGAGCUGGAGCGGGAGCGGAGCAAGCUGUCGGUGGACACGCUGCAGUUCCUGCUCUUCCUGUACAUCCAGCAGGUGAGCAAGGUGUCUCUGCGGAGGUCUCUGAUCGGGGAGGAGUGGCCCAGCCCCCGGACCAAGUCUCCCAGCCUGAGUGGAAAAUCCGCCAGCGAGAACAAGAUCUGGAAUGAUCAGGACCACCGUGCCUUUGUGCAGAGCCACCUCUUGGAGAUGCUUGAACUGCUGCUGGAGCCCGAGCAGCUCAGUGCCUCCUCCCAUUCAACCCACACUAGCUUGGUGUCCUACGAAGCCGUCUGUGCCCUCAGCUUCCUUAUUGAAGGGACCGUGAACAAAUCCAGGGCGGUCCAUCCUCUGCACGAGCUCGCCCUCUGGCAGUCCUGUCCCGGGCAGAAUGGCUACUCCAAGGUCUCCAGAGCCUUCCCUUUCCCCAAGCUGGAGAGCUGGCUGCGGUCUUGCCUGAUGACAAACCCUUUUGGAAUGACUGCGUGCCUCAAGUCCGGGAAGAAACUCGCAUGGGCACAGCAAGUUGAAGGAACAACCAGGAGAGCAAAGAUUGCCUGCAACACUCGUGUGGUGCCUGAGGUGUUUCCCAUGGUGAUAAUGAGCCAGGUGUACAAGCAGACGCUGGCCAAGAGCUCGGACACCCUGGUGGGGGCUCAUGUAAGAAUUCAUCGCUGCAAUGAGUCCUUCAUUUACCUCCUCUCUCCGCUCCGAUCUGUGACCAUCGAGAAGUGCCGGAAUAGCACUUUUGUCCUCGGCCCUGUGCAGGCGUCUGUGCACGUCCACAGCUGUGACAACAUCAAGGUCAUCGUGGUUUGCCAUCGUUUGUCCCUUUCUUCCACUGCUGGCUGUACUUUUUACACUCUCACACCUACCCAGCCUCUCAUCCUCUCAGGGAACCAAGCAGUCAGCUUUGCCCCUUUCCACACCCACUAUCCGAUGCUUGAAGACCACAUGGCUCAGGUGGGCUUGGCCACUCUGCCAAACUACUGGGACAGUCCCAUGCUGGUGUGCAAGGAGAGCAGUGACAUGAGUGUCUUCCGCCUCCUGCCACCCUCAGACUUCUACACCUUCGUGAUUCCUUUUGAGAUGGAAGGAGACACCAUGGAGACGCCGGGUGGGCUUCCCCACGCGUAUCAGAAGGCGCUGAGUCAGCGGGAGCAGAACGUGCAGAUCUGGCAGAAAACUGUGAAGGAGGCAGGCCUGACCAAGGAUCAGAGGAAACAAUUCCAGAUCCUGGUAGAAACCAAAUUCUAUGAAUGGCUGGUUCAGACAGGGAACCGUCAGCAGCUGGAUAGCCUUGUCCCUCCUGCAGUAGGCUCCAAGCAGGCAGCAGGAUAGCAUCGUGUUCCUGUGCAGCAAAAGGAAAGGAAGGGUGAGUAGAAGGUCUGUUUCUCUUGAUUCUUCUCUAUCUAAAAGAAUUGUCCCAUGGUUGCGUGGGCAGCUUAGGCAGAAGCUGAAGAAGGAGGAGGAGGCUGUUCAUUCUCCCAAUAGCCUUGCAUUCGGUUUUCUUAUUUUGUGGUCAAAACCUCUUUUCAAUUUGAAUCUGUUCACUGUGUAGUCAGCACAUCGCUCAUUCUCUGUAGGUGUCCUGUAUGCUUUGUUGGAGAAUCUGUGUGCAUCUGUAAAGGCAGACAGGCAUAUUGUACAUAAUCUGAUGUAAAAAAACCCUGCUUUGAAUAGCUGCUCUUUCAAAGGGGCUCUGCAUUAAUGUCUGUACUUACUUGUCUCACUUUUUGCUUAAGAGAAUCAAGUGAGACUUCAGAUAAUUCUUACUUUGUAGUGUCUUUCUCUUCCCAAGCAGAAGUGGUUUAGGAACCAGAGAAAAGCCUUUAUCAUGCUUUUCAGCAAGUUCCAUGUGACUCAGAUGGGACACAGAAUUGGGACUGGACCUUGCUUGGGAAAUCAUUGCAGCCGAAGGGAUUCGCCAGAUGGACUCCAGCACACACCGAUGUGAUUAUCCAGGGACUCCCCUGGCGAACCCCUGGUUGUGAGUUCUGGGAACAGGCAGCGAAGUACUGAAAACAGUUCUCAUUAAGACUUUGUGGCCGUCCUGCCUGAACACACUUGGUGUGGAUCUGACAUCCACCCUCGAUGUGGAUUGGACUGUCUGGUUUAGGAUUUCUGAUUGCUGCCACUUUGCCAGGAGUGUGCUGCAACUAUUCUGUUGGUAACUGAGAAAGUGCAGGUUGCUAGAGGAUGAUGAAGUAUGCCUCCUUUAGUGAGGAGGCUGUCAUCAUGGCUAGUGUCCAUGGUGUGCAAGUAUCCAGCAAAGCAGCCUUUCCUGGUGCAAAGCUGGAUGCAGGGCCCUGGGCAUCACCUGCAUCUUUUUAUGGUACAAGCCAGCUGCACUGUUUUUGUGAAUGUGAAAAAGGAAUGUUUGAUUUUGUUAUGAAUGAAAUUCAAUUCAUUUUUUUUUUUUUUUAAAUUUAAAUUGAUUUAAAUUUAAAUUGAUUUUUUUUUUAAAUACGAAGAUGGCACUUAAGCAGUGUGAUUUUAUGGAAUUCGCUUCCUUAUAUGUUUGCAUGUUUUUGACAAAUGUCAAUAAAACAGAGUUCUUAGAUAA